This 723-nucleotide ribosomal RNA is filed under the name Stereodon hamulosus. Its description in RNAcentral is "eukaryotic LSU rRNA". The stretch from base 244 to 396 matches the Rfam family "5.8S ribosomal RNA". Lineage: Eukaryota; Viridiplantae; Streptophyta; Bryopsida; Hypnales; Stereodontaceae. The record is from RNAcentral.
GUUUCCGUAGGUGAACCUGCGGAAGGAUCAUUGCACACACGAGUUGCAGCCAACCCGCGGCGAACGAACACACUGUCCCCCCGGCGGGUCGUGGCGCCUCGCGGCGUCGCGGCCGGCCACCUCCCUUCGCCACGCGCGUGCUGGCGCGCGCGCGGCGGCGUCGGGCGUUCCACGAUGCAUCCACCCUGUGUGACUGAGUCCGAAUUCGACUCCUCGCGAGUCGGAACGCAACUGAAAAAGAACAACUCUCAGCAACGGAUAUCUUGGCUCUUGCAACGAUGAAGAACGCAGCGAAAUGCGAUACGUAGUGUGAAUUGCAGAAUUCCGCGAAUCAUCGAGUCUUUGAACGCAAGUUGCGCCCGAGGCUUGUCCGAGGGCAUUUCCGCUAGAGCGUCACCGCGCCCCCCACCGGCCCACCCCACCCCGAUCGGGAGUUGGAGUUGGUUCGAGUGAAAGUGGCCGUCCCGGUGGAGUCGCCUCCUGGUCCCGUCCCGCGAGGGAAGGGGAGGAGCGCGUGGCCGAGGGUCGGCUGAAAUGGAAGGGGUCGGGCCGCCGUGGCGACACAGUCCGCGAUCGGGUGAUCCGAGCUCCUCCUGGAGCCCGGAGUUUUCUAAGUGUUGGCUGCGUCGCCCAGUCGGCUUGUGGACCCUUUGGCAGGUCGAGCGCGCCCCCGCGGCGCGCGUCACGCAUCAGACCUCUAAUCGGAAAAGACUACCCGCUGAG